This 274-nucleotide long non-coding RNA is filed under the name Phoenix dactylifera (date palm). RNAcentral describes it as "long non-coding RNA (PDAC_LNC007637)". Lineage: Eukaryota; Viridiplantae; Streptophyta; Magnoliopsida; Arecales; Arecaceae. The record is from RNAcentral.
GGGGCUCGGGCGAUUGCGGAUCUCGACGGCGGCAGGAGGCGGCACGGGCGGAGGCGGCGAAGGCGGAGCGGCACGGGUGGAGGAGCUCGGAUGGGAUGCUCGACGGCGGUGUUCGUCGGCGGGGAGGCGGCGCUGCGGUGGAGUUCUCGAGGAAGAAAGGUGAGCUAGUUUUUUUUUCUUUUUUUUUCUUUUUCUCUCGCUCUCUCUGUUUUUUUUUUAAUAGAGAUCUGGUAGUGUUCGGGUUAAUGGGCACAACCCGCUCCGCUAACCUGUU